This 497-nucleotide ribosomal RNA is filed under the name uncultured bacterium. RNAcentral's name for it is "partial 16S ribosomal RNA". It matches the Rfam family "Bacterial small subunit ribosomal RNA", at positions 28 to 507 of the family's 1533-position model. The record is from RNAcentral.
GAUGAACGCUGGCGGCGUGCCUAAUACAUGCAAGUCGAGCGAACAGACGAGGAGCUUGCUCCUCUGACGUUAGCGGCGGACGGGUGAGUAACACGUGGAUAACCUACCUAUAAGACUGGGAUAACUUCGGGAAACCGGAGCUAAUACCGGAUAAUAUAUUGAACCGCAUGGUUCAAUAGUGAAAGACGGUUUUGCUGUCACUUAUAGAUGGAUCCGCGCCGCAUUAGCUAGUUUGUAAGGUAACGGCUUACCAAGGCAACGAUGCGUAGCCGACCUGAGAGGGUGAUCGGCCACACUGGAACUGAGACACGGUCCAGACUCCUACGGGAGGCAGCAGUAGGGAAUCUUCCGCAAUGGGCGAAAGCCUGACGGAGCAACGCCGCGUGAGUGAUGAAGGUCUUCGGAUCGUAAAACUCUGUUAUUAGGGAAGAACAAAUGUGUAAGUAACUAUGCACGUCUUGACGGUACCUAAUCAGAAAGCCACGGCUAACUACGUG